This 462-nucleotide ribosomal RNA is filed under the name uncultured Planctomycetota bacterium. Its description in RNAcentral is "bacterial SSU rRNA". It matches the Rfam family "Bacterial small subunit ribosomal RNA", at positions 379 to 831 of the family's 1533-position model. Lineage: Bacteria; Pseudomonadati; Planctomycetota. The record is from RNAcentral.
AAGGGUGACGAAGCGACGCCGCGUGUGGGAAGAAGGCCUUCGGGUUGUAAACCACUGUCGGGAGUUAGGAAAUGCAGGUGCGUUAAUAGCGCACUUGCUUGACUAAGGCUCCAGAGGAAGCCACGGCUAACUCUGUGCCAGCAGCCGCGGUAAUACAGAGGCGGCAAGCGUUGUUCGGAAUUAUUGGGCGUAAAGAGCACGUAGGCGGCCUUGCAAGUCAGUUGUGAAAGCCUUCCGCUUAACGGAAGAACGGCAUCUGAUACUACAGGGCUUGAGUACGGGAGGGGAGAGUGGAACUUCUGGUGGAGCGGUGAAAUGCGUAGAUAUCAGAAGGAACGCCGGCGGCGAAAGCGACUCUCUGGUCCGAAACUGACGCUGAGUGUGCGAAAGCUAGGGGAGCAAACGGGAUUAGAUACCCCGGUAGUCCUAGCCGUAAACGAUGGGCACUAAGUAGAGGGAAUU